GGCCCGGUAGCUCAGUCGGUAGAGCAGAGGAUUGAAAAUCCUUGUGUCGGCGGUUCGAUUCCGUCCCAGGCCA
This is a transfer RNA of Acidovorax temperans, 73 nucleotides long. It matches the Rfam family "tRNA". Rfam says of the family: Transfer RNA (tRNA) molecules are approximately 80 nucleotides in length. Their secondary structure includes four short double-helical elements and three loops (D, anti-codon, and T loops). Lineage: Bacteria; Pseudomonadati; Pseudomonadota; Betaproteobacteria; Burkholderiales; Comamonadaceae. The record is from Rfam.